UGAGUCGGCCGGGUGGUCGCGGCAUCAGGGUUGAGCUUCUGAACGGUUCUUCUGAACGGUUGCUGAAUGCUGGUGUUGAGGAAGGUCGGGACUCCACAGGGCAACGGUGCUGGCUAACGGCCAGUCGGGGCAACCCGAAGGAAAGUGCCACAGAGAACAGACCGCCGAUGGCCCAGCUUUUGGGCACAGGCAAGGGUGAAACGGUGCGGUAAGAGCGCACCAGAAGCCGGGGCAACUCGGCUUGCUAGGUAAACCCCACCGGGAGCAAGGCCAAGCAGGGGAUAUGGCGGCCCGCCGCCUUACAAAAGGCAAUCCCCGGGUAGGCCGCUUAGAUGGAUGGCCACACAAGGCCCCAAAAGGGCCCAGACAGAAUCCCGCCUACAGGCCGACUCACCCC
This 397-nucleotide RNase P RNA is filed under the name bacterium. Its description in RNAcentral is "RNase P RNA component class A". It matches the Rfam family "Bacterial RNase P class A". From Rfam's summary of the family: Ribonuclease P (RNase P) is a ubiquitous endoribonuclease, found in archaea, bacteria and eukarya as well as chloroplasts and mitochondria. The record is from RNAcentral.